RNAcentral lists this ribosomal RNA (636 nucleotides) under Triticum aestivum (bread wheat). RNAcentral describes it as "partial small subunit ribosomal RNA". The record is from RNAcentral. Lineage: Eukaryota; Viridiplantae; Streptophyta; Magnoliopsida; Poales; Poaceae.
AUGUUCACUAUCGAUAAAUAUCAGCAGUGCACAUAUUGGAUUCUUUCCGAGAAGGAAUUUGCAUUGAGAUAUCACUCCAGUAGAAUGCUGGAGACUGUCCUUCGAGCCGUUGUGCUCGGAGAAGAUGACACCGAUUACCAUAUAUGUUUUGACUUCAACAGAAACUUGAAGAUUCCUUCACGGAAACCAUCCAUUGUAUGUGAGAAUUGUAUUUACUCUCUUGAUGGUAAUGAUUCAGUCAGAGCUUUCCACACAAUGGACCCAAAGGGGGUGUUCGACACAUUUAUUGUUUUUCAUGAAAAUCAAGGGAAAGUAGUACCACUCACCGGCUCUUCAACUUAUGAUCCUGAGGAUAAAUGUGUGACCAAGAGGAGCGGAUUGUAUGGAGCAACGCUUGAUGAGGCUGAUACAGUUGUCCUUGAAAUGGACAACAAUGGUCAUCUGAUUCAGAAAGCUUUCAUUUCCUACAAACUGCAAGCUACAAAAUUGUCCGUUGUAUUUUAUCACAAAGUAGGAGAGAGAACUAUUAUUCAAACACACCAAGACACAUUAUUAUCCAUGUUACAUAUUUGCCCGAACAUCCAUACAUGUUGGCUACCAAUUCUUCACCAUAAAUCCAGAAGAGAACUAGCAUAA